Molecule: ribosomal RNA, 250 nt
Filed under: uncultured bacterium
Lineage: Bacteria
Description: partial 16S ribosomal RNA
Rfam family: Bacterial small subunit ribosomal RNA
Source: RNAcentral
UACGUAGGUGGCGAGCGUUAUCCGGAAUUACUGGGCGUAAAGCGCACGCAGGCGGCUUUUUGGGUCUGACGUGAAAGCUCCUGGCUUAACUGGGAGAGGUCGUUGGAAACUAAAGAGCUUGAGGCAAUGAGAGGGGUGUGGAAUUCCCGGUGUAGUGGUGGAAUACGUAGAUAUCUGGAAGAACACCAGUGGCGAAGGCGGUCUCUUGGUCCUAUACUGACGCUAAGGCGCGAAAGCGUGGGGAGCAAAC